Molecule: ribosomal RNA, 678 nt
Filed under: Triticum aestivum (bread wheat)
Lineage: Eukaryota; Viridiplantae; Streptophyta; Magnoliopsida; Poales; Poaceae
Description: partial small subunit ribosomal RNA
Source: RNAcentral
AUGGCCAAGGGCGGGUGCAAGGCCUUCGCGGCGCUGAUCGCGGCCUCGCCCGACGCGGCGUCCACCUACGACGCGGCCGCGAGCGGCGGCAUGACGGUCUUCUGCCCCUCCGACGACGCCGUGGCGUCCUUCAUGCCCCGGUACAAGAACCUCACCGCCGACGGCAAGGCGUCGCUGCUGCUGUUCCACGCCGUCCCCGUCUACUACUCGCCGGGGAGCCUCAAGUCCAACAACGGCGUCAUGAACACGCUCGCCACCGACGGCUCCGCCCGGAACUACAACUUCACGCUGCAGAACGAGGGCAACGUCGUCACCAUCAAGACGGGCGCCUCCGGGGCCGUCGCGCGGGUCAGGUCCACGCUGCUGGACACGGACCCCGUCGCCGUCUACGCCGUCGACAGGGUGUUCGAGCCCGUCGAGCUGUUCAAGCCCGCGCCGUCCCCGACCCCCGCGCCCGCGCCCUCCCCGGCCGCCGACGCGCCCAAGGCGGGCAAGGGCGGCGCCGCGCGCCACCGCUCGCCCCCAGCCGUCGCGGACGCGCCCGGGCCCGAGGCCGAGGACACCGCCCCGGCGGACCAGAAGAAGGACUCCAAGAAGAGCGCGGCCGCCGGCGCGCCGCGCGCAAGGUGGCUCGCCGCGGCGCUGGCGACCGUGGCCGUGGCUUCCACGCUGGCUUAG